AAGCCAAGGCAAUGCCGACGAGUGCUUCUUCCCCGCCAGCGACAAGUGCUCCCAUUCCUCGUCUGAAGAAACCGCCUGAUCCUCCUCCUCCCCUCCCCCCCUUCUCCUGAGCUCCUCCUCCAAGGCCCCGCUACUGAAGGGGCAUCUCCCUCUUCGGGAGCAGCCUCUUCUCCCCUCGACAAAAGCCAAACUCGCACUGCUACCUCCUUGCAAGCGCAUAAAGUCUCACCCUUUUGGGCAAGCCUCCUCAGGCAAUCCUCUUCAGAUGACCCUUGGCGUUUCGACACGGAGCUGGCAGAGAAGAUCGCUAGGAUUCAAAAGAGCUCCAAGCACGUCGCGGUCCUAAAUCCAGAGGAAGUGCAGAAUGCAAGGAGUCACUGACAACUCUACAAAUUUUUCGGCAAAGCACGCCCUUUGGAGUUCAUCAAAGGGGAGCCAUGGUUCCUUCGCGGACAUGCUCUCAACCUCUUCCCAAGGAGAGCAAACUUCCGACCUUUGAAGGAAAACGUAAAGUCUGCCCCCAAUCUGGAUCCAUCUUCCUAGCCUCCCCAUUGAACUGAUGUACCAUCGCGCUCUCCUCCAAAUCGCCGAUAGCAUUGGAUCAGCUGUCAAAGUUGAUGCUGUCACCACCUCUGGAACUAGAGCGAGGCUUGUUGGCCAUAAAAUCGAUCAAUGCAACCAAAGCAAGCCGCCGGAGCAAACGGCCGCCCCUGGCAAGGAUGCCGCAGGUGGGCAUUGGCUCUGUUACAGAGAUUGGCACGAACGGAGAACACCCACUGUACGGGCCCUGGUUCAAAGGCCAACACAAAUCCUGUUACAGUAGUCGUUUUGGCGCAACAUCGGUCCACUCCAGCGCCUCACCUCAGCCCACUGAACCCGCUCCGGCCACCUCGCAGCCUGGUGAAUCCCGUACCAAACGGGCCUUUGCUUUCUCCUGUUUCCCGCCAUCCCGUUCCAUCUUCGGGUCACCCUUUCAAACCAGCAUUAAACCCCGAUGGUGCUUCCCCAGAUUGUAUUAGUUCUUCCCCUCCUUUCCAAUACUGCGUCAUUGGAGAUGCGCCCCUCCACCCUGACAUGCCACCGGUGCUAACGUCUUAGGAUGCCGCCUACUCGACUGUCACACCCUCCUUUGUAAAGGGACGACAACCCCUCGCCCACCCUGCAAACAAGCACAACCCCGUUUCCUCACGCUUCUCUAGAUGUCAUCGCCUCGCCCCAUUUCCUCACCAACACAUCCCCCCAAACCCAUUCUCCAUUAUCCCUCAACCCACAUUCUCUAGAUGGAGCAGUUUGCCCGGCUUAAGGUCGGUCUGGUGGAAUCAUCGUCGCUUGGAACCCCGGUACUCUCAAAGCUUCCCCUGUUAGUAUCUCACAACAUUCUUUGCACUUAAUGGUGGAAUAGAGAGGUACGCACCCCUGACCUCUCUCAGCAGUCUACAUAAUUACUGAUGCUUCUCAACGCAAUGCUCACUGGCGUUUUCUUUCGAAUUUUGAUCUCUCGGAUCUACCUUGGUUGAUUUGUGUGGAUUUUAACUGUCUUAAUUCUACUUCUAAUAAACUGGGGGGUGAUACACCCUUCUUAUCCUGUUUUUCUAGACAGAUUCACCUGAAAAUGGCUUGCUAAAGCCAAGAUCAAUUGUCUCAGGGAUGCUGAUAAAACACCAGCUUCUUCCAUAACACAAUCAGACAAAGGAGAUCUAUUUAUAUUCACCACAUUAAGAGGGAGGAUGGAUCCAUGGUGGAGGACUUGGCCUCUAUAUCCUCUGUUUUCACUGACAUGAUCUCGCUCUUGUCUCUGCAAGAGUUCGUAUUCUAGACCUUUGUCCAAGGAAAGUUUUGUGUUUUCGUUUUAUGUUUCAUCUUUUAUAUCAACUCUCUUUAUAUGGCUUGGGUUAUUCAUCAAGUUACACUCAAGUUGUUCCCUUCCUUGACUUGCAUUGAGUUAUUGAGUUAUGAUGGUUCUUGCUGUCAUCAUUUUACGACUUAGUUAUUUGUUGAGUCUGAUCUUCAUUUCGGCUUCAAGUGUGUUUUCAUUUGUAUUGUCCUAGAUCGCUCCUCACUUGAUCUUGCAAUAUAUUAUCAAAUGCGAGAUCAUUAUCAUAAUCUUGUUAACUGGCCGACCCUCCCCAGACACUCACCAAUCCUUUCACCUUCAAUGAAUUCCAUCUCGCCUUAAUGGGCAUGGGAUGAGCCCUCAGCCCCUCUAUCAUGCUUUCAAUGAGAUUCAUACCACAUCCACCCUUCCUUCUUGGAUCAAAAUUAAUCUGGUUUUCAUUCCCUAAAUCCCUAAUCCUUCCGAGGAUUCAAACUAAAGACUCAUCUCUCUCUGCAGUAUCCUUAUCUAAAGAAUAGACUCGAGCUCCUUUUUGAUUUGGUUAUUGAACAAAAUCAAUUUGCUUUCAAUACCGUCAUAUCCAUCCGCAAUAACAUAUCAAUCGGAUAUAAAUUGGCCCACUCCAUGUUUCUCUCCCGGAUCCGUUUCAGUAUCUCAUUGACCAUCUUCUCAUUUUUGAUAGAUAGAGAUUCCCUUCAAAUUGGUUUAAAAGCUCCAGGGUUGAGGCAGGGGUCCCUCUCUCUUCCCUCCUCUUCCUCAUGGUCUAACAAAACCUCACCAAUAUGCCUGAGGAAUUUGUAGCUAAAAAGAUCACAUCUGAUCAUGGUUUGUAAUAUCGUACCAUACCGCUCGAUACAGGUGGUACGAAUUGAGCCAAUAGAGGAUUGAUAUGGGCAGUACGUCAAUACACUUUAGUGUAGCUAUCGUGCCGAUAGCUGAUCGGUAUACCGGUAUGGUAUGGUAUUUAGAAUCUUACCUUUGACAACAUUAAAGGGGUAAGAUCUUUCACCUUAUUUUCCAAACCUCAUUAAAGGCCUCAACAUCUAUUCCUCCGUAACUGGACUCCAAAUCAACAAGAGUAAGUCAGCUGUCCUUCCCAAGUCCUGUAGUCCUGAUACCAAAUAUAGGAAUUGCAACAUCCUAGAGAUUAGAGAGAGGGAUCCUGGCCUCUAAACAAUCUGGGAGCUUACGUCCACUACUGUCGGUUCCCUAUCAGGUUUCAGGACCUUCUCACCCAAAAAGCUCUCAACAGAUUCAAUGAUUGGAAUUGAGGGGCCUGUGAUAUCACAAGCAGGCAAAACUAUUCUAAUCAUUCCCUUGCACAUGCUCAUGAACACCUGGAUCUCUGAUAAACACAUAUCUACUAUUUCUAAAUUCUCUUGUUGCUUUUUCCUGAAACCCUUAUCAGUCUCACAACAAAAUAUCCCCCAUCAGUUUGAACUGCAUCACCAGUCCGAAAGCUGAAGGUAAUCUAGGAAUUAGGGAGAUUAUAUUGAUCAAAACCACUAUCUGCACCAAGAAACUUCUAUCCCUUCCUAACAACUCUUCUAACCUUUCAGCUAGACUCCUAUCGACCAAAUAUAGUGUCAUUCACCCAUGGCAGACACCCAACAGCAAGAAAAACCAUCGCAACGUCCUCGACAGAUCCAAGCUGGGAUUUAGGAAAAUCCUCAAUCUGGAACGACCCUUGAAUCACUAAUAGUCUCCUCUCCUACUGUCUUGCAUUCAUUAAUCGGGACACUCUCAACUCAUAUCGGUGGGUUAGUGAUCUCAUGAACAGUAACCUUUGGAACAUCAGCCUAUUUGAUUCUCUCUUUCGCCAUGAACUCACCCAGGCCAUCCUCUCCAUAUUCCUCCUUUUCAAUCCCAAUUAUUAUUUAUGAGUCUGCCUACUGGCUUGGGUGGAUGGUGAUGUAGCUACCUGUGAUUCCUCGAGUCAAAAAUUUUCUUUGGAAGCUCCGGUGAGAAAAAAAGCUCCCCACCUCUGAAUUCAUUGCCCCUUUCUUGCAUAAUUAUAUAUCUACCUCUUGCUCUUGCAACUCCAGUCAAGAUUCGGUUAAACUUAAACAUAUCUUCGUAAAAUGAACUACUGGCAUCUUGCUAGCUCCAAACUAUCUUACAGCUUUCGUCUCUUUUGGCUUUUGGAGGAAGGGGAUGAGCUUGACUUUCACAAGGACUCUUAUUGCAAAUUAUCUUUGGCUUAUUUGGAAACAUAUGAAUGAAGCCAAAUCAUCCAUACCCCCUUUAACUUCACUCUUUAUUGAGAUAGCUCUUUUCCUUCUCUGCAGGAUCAAGAACCCUAGUGGCAGGCACUUCCUCCUCCUCCUCCUCCUCCACAACACUGAAGACGUCAGAGCUGUCUCACUGCGUAGGCUCAAAGAUCCUUGAAGUCUUCGCGGAUUCUAUGACCCUUGGGAACAUCCCAACCAAACGUUCCAACAUCCUGUACCCCUUCUGCAAGGAUAUUUUGUACUUGGCUUCUGCUGUGCAUGUCACUCACUGUAGUCAUAUCAGCAGAACAAUCAACACAAUAGCUCACAGCAUAAUUAAUUUUGCCAGACUGGCAAUUCUUUUUA
Musa acuminata AAA Group (dessert banana) is the source of this 4410-nucleotide long non-coding RNA. RefSeq lists it as uncharacterized. The record is from RefSeq and is a predicted model, not a curated record. The transcript is spliced from 3 exons. Lineage: Eukaryota; Viridiplantae; Streptophyta; Magnoliopsida; Zingiberales; Musaceae.